This 453-nucleotide ribosomal RNA is filed under the name uncultured Brevundimonas sp. RNAcentral's name for it is "bacterial SSU rRNA". It matches the Rfam family "Bacterial small subunit ribosomal RNA", at positions 8 to 507 of the family's 1533-position model. Lineage: Bacteria; Pseudomonadati; Pseudomonadota; Alphaproteobacteria; Caulobacterales; Caulobacteraceae. The record is from RNAcentral.
AGAGUUUGAUCCUGGCUCAGAGCGAACGCUGGCGGCAGGCCUAACACAUGCAAGUCGAACGGACCCUUCGGGGUUAGUGGCGGACGGGUGAGUAACACGUGGGAACGUGCCUUUAGGUUCGGAAUAGCUCCUGGAAACGGGUGGUAAUGCCGAAUGUGCCCUUCGGGGGAAAGAUUUAUCGCCUUUAGAGCGGCCCGCGUCUGAUUAGCUUGUUGGUGAGGUAAUGGCUCACCAAGGCUACGAUCAGUAGCUGGUCUGAGAGGAUGACCAGCCACAUUGGGACUGAGACACGGCCCAAACUCCUACGGGAGGCAGCAGUGGGGAAUCUUGCGCAAUGGGCGAAAGCCUGACGCAGCCAUGCCGCGUGUAUGAUGAAGGUCUUAGGAUUGUAAAAUACUUUCACCGGUGAAGAUAAUGACUGUAGCCGGAGAAGAAGCCCCGGCUAACUUCGUG